CAGAGGGUAGUUUAAAGUUAGAAUCCUAGCUUUGGGAGCUAGGGGUAGGGGUUAAAGUCCCCUUUCUCUGA
Molecule: non-coding RNA, 71 nt
Organism: Seriola lalandi dorsalis
Lineage: Eukaryota; Metazoa; Chordata; Actinopteri; Carangiformes; Carangidae
Source: Ensembl